This 847-nucleotide ribosomal RNA is filed under the name uncultured bacterium. RNAcentral describes it as "bacterial SSU rRNA". It matches the Rfam family "Bacterial small subunit ribosomal RNA", at positions 29 to 873 of the family's 1533-position model. The record is from RNAcentral.
UUGAACGCUAGCGGCAUGCUUUACACAUGCAAGUCGAACGGCAGCGCGGGGGCAACCCUGGCGGCGAGUGGCGAACGGGUGAGUAAUGCAUCGGAACAUGCCCAUCGAUGGGGGAUAACUGCGCGAAAGCGUUGCUAAUACCGCAUACGACCUGAGGGUGAAAGCAGGGGACCGCAAGGCCUUGCGUCGAUGGAGUGGCCGAUGUCGGAUUAGCUAGUUGGUGGGGUAAAGGCCUACCAAGGCGACGAUCCGUAGCUGGUCUGAGAGGACGACCAGCCACACUGGGACUGAGACACGGCCCAGACUCCUACGGGAGGCAGCAGUGGGGAAUCUUGGACAAUGGGGGCAACCCUGAUCCAGCAAUGCCGCGUGCGGGAAGAAGGCCUUCGGGUUGUAAACCGCUUUUGGCAGGGAAGAAAUUGUCCGUGCUAAUACCAUGGAUAGAUGACGGUACCUGCAGAAUAAGCACCGGCUAACUACGUGCCAGCAGCCGCGGUAAUACGUAGGGUGCGAGCGUUAAUCGGAAUUACUGGGCGUAAAGCGUGCGCAGGCGGUUGGGAAAGAUCGAUGUGAAAUCCCCGGGCUUAACCUGGGAAUUGCAUUGAUGACUAUCCGACUAGAGUACGGUAGAGGGGAGUGGAAUUCCGCGUGUAGCAGUGAAAUGCGUAGAUAUGCGGAGGAACACCGAUGGCGAAGGCAGCUCCCUGGACCUGUACUGACGCUCAUGCACGAAAGCGUGGGGAGCAAACAGGAUUAGAUACCCUGGUAGUCCACGCCCUAAACGAUGUCAACUGGUUGUUGGACGGGCAACUGUUCAGUAACGAAGCUAACGCGUGAAGUGACCGCC